Molecule: ribosomal RNA, 253 nt
Filed under: uncultured bacterium
Lineage: Bacteria
Description: partial 16S ribosomal RNA
Rfam family: Bacterial small subunit ribosomal RNA
Source: RNAcentral
UACGUAGGGGGCAAGCGUUGUCCGGAUUUAUUGGGCGUAAAGAGCGUGUAGGCGGCCAGAUAGGUCCGUUGUGAAAACUCGAGGCUUAACCUCGAGCUGUCGGCGGAAACCAUCUGGCUAGAGUCCGGAAGAGGAGAAUGGAAUUCCCGGUGUAGCGGUGAAAUGCGCAGAUAUCGGGAAGAACACCCGUGGCGAAGGCGGUUCUCUGGGACGGUACUGACGCUGAGACGCGAAAGCGUGGGGAGCGAACAGG